This is a long non-coding RNA of Amblyraja radiata (thorny skate), 119 nucleotides long. RefSeq lists it as uncharacterized. The record is from RefSeq and is a predicted model, not a curated record. The transcript is spliced from 3 exons. NCBI's taxonomy places the organism in Eukaryota, Metazoa, Chordata, Chondrichthyes, Rajiformes, Rajidae.
CCUCUGACUCACUUCUAACUCUCCUCCCACUCGUGCUACAGCCAAUCAGUGGUUUAUCCUGCUUCUCUUUGCUGUUGUUCCUUCAAAAUCCACGGAAGCUCCGAAUAAGUCCACUUUUA